AACAUUGCCAACCCUCUUCAAGAACAAGCAGUCUGUUUACAAGCCACCUGAAAGGUCAGUUAGUCUGGAAGAACUGAGACAUGGUGCUUUUCCAUUCUCACAGGGCAUGCAUUCCAUAUCACUUUCAAUCAAGUCAACAAAUAAAUUAAGUGCUUAUUAAGUGUAUAUAAACAAACCCUACAUUCUAACUUUCCUGGGUAACAAAAAUAAAGAGACCCUCUUCUCAAAAAGCAAUACAUUUAUAACCUAUUUCUUAGACCAAGAUAUUUUAGACUGUCCUUUAAAACACCCAAUUUUGUC
Molecule: long non-coding RNA, 300 nt
Filed under: Homo sapiens (human)
Lineage: Eukaryota; Metazoa; Chordata; Mammalia; Primates; Hominidae
Description: non-protein coding lnc-MIXL1-2:15
Source: RNAcentral